GACGAACGCUGGCGGCGUGCCUAAUACAUGCAAGUAGAACGCUGAAGGAGGAGCUUGCUUCUCUGGAUGAGUUGCGAACGGGUGAGUAACGCGUAGGUAACCUGCCUGGUAGCGGGGGAUAACUAUUGGAAACGAUAGCUAAUACCGCAUAAGAGUAGAUGUUGCAUGACAUUUGCUUAAAAGGUGCAAUUGCAUCACUACCAGAUGGACCUGCGUUGUAUUAGCUAGUUGGUGGGGUAACGGCUCACCAAGGCGACGAUACAUAGCCGACCUGAGAGGGGGAUCGGCCACACUGGGACUGAGACACGGCCCAGACUCCUACGGGAGGCAGCAGUAGGGAAUCUUCGGCAAUUGACGGAAGUCUGACCGAGCAACGCCGCGUGAGUGAAGAAGGUUUUCGGAUCGUAAAGCUCUGUUGUAAGAGAAGAACGAGUGUGAGAGUGGAAAGUUCACACUGUGACGGUAUCUUACCAGAAAGGGACGGCUAACUACGUG
This 495-nucleotide ribosomal RNA is filed under the name uncultured bacterium. Its description in RNAcentral is "partial 16S ribosomal RNA". It matches the Rfam family "Bacterial small subunit ribosomal RNA", at positions 28 to 507 of the family's 1533-position model. The record is from RNAcentral.